UUUGGAUUGAAAAAAA
This 16-nucleotide small RNA is filed under the name Arabidopsis thaliana (thale cress). RNAcentral's name for it is "ATSL065140". Lineage: Eukaryota; Viridiplantae; Streptophyta; Magnoliopsida; Brassicales; Brassicaceae. The record is from RNAcentral.